ACACGGGGAAACUAUUUUAAUCCUGUUGUUUUCAGACACUAGUACCCUGGGUGCUGGUGACAUCUUCCUCUGGCCUCUCCUUGUCUCCAUAGUCUUUGUGGUCUCCAAUGAAAGAAUUCCAAAGAGACAUACUGAGUAAGGUAUAGAACAUGAUCUUGGAGAAGGAGGCAGAUUGAAAGAUUUUCCUUGUGAAAGGGUAUAUCUAUGCAAAUAUAAACAAUUACAUAAGAAUAUUUAAGAGUAUUUAAGAGUAUCUGAAAUCAUGCAUCCAUUAUGGAGUCUCAUGAUGCUAUCAAGUGGCUGUGUAUGUUUGUGUUUAUGUAUAUGUGUGUAUCGGGGUGUGUGUGUAUGUGUGUGUGUGUGUGUGUGUGUGUGUGUGUGUGUGUGUGUGUACAAUCAUAUUGUAAAAUAUAGGAAAGGAAGUAUUGAGGGGCAGAUGAGGGAGACCAAUUGGCUAGUGGCAACUAUACCUGACUCAUCUCCACUUCCCAUCAGGACUUGGUUUCUUUACCACCUCUCAACACUCACACUCUCUGCUUGGGCAAGAAUCCAGGUACUUCCAGGACUGGGGAAAUCCUUUCAUCGUGUUUUUUUCUUAGGCAGACUUCAGGGUGGGGCUUGGGAGAGAGGAAGGAAUGAGGCGGAGGAGUGAGGGGGUUCUCCGAAUGCGGCAGCAUUUGGCAGGGGCGGAGAGUGGUUUGUGUCAAAGAGGGGUACAGAUAAAAUUCUGGGGAUUCUGAAGGAAAGGCGACCGUAAGGACCACCAGGAAAGAUGUUCCAGAGAAGGUGACCUAGAAACUGGGCCUGAAAGAGUAUGUAGGAUUUCUUUAUUUUUACUUUUUGGUAGGCGUGGGUGGAAGAACUUUCCUUCGGAAAAACAAACAAACAAACAAGCAAACACCCUGUUCAAACAGGCACUGCACCACAAAAUGUGUGUCUGAAGACAGGAGCAUGCUUUCUCUCAUCCACCGCUCUUUAGAUCCAGAGGUUAACAGCACCAUGAACUCUUGCUAUGUUCUGGCUGGUGGCCUGCCCACUGGCCACCCACCCUCCCUCCCUCUCCUUUCUGCCUCCUUUCAUUUCCAUCAUCUCUAUGGUUACUUUACUCCCCCACUUUCAUUAUACUGUGUCCUUGAUCUUGUUUUAUUAAGUGCUGAGAGCGACAUUCUCCUCCUCAGGCUGGCUGCCUUGUGACCAGGAUGGACGUUGUGUUGGUGACUUCAAAAGCUAGGUCAUGAAAUGUCAAGAAGCCUCCUUCCAGAACCAUCGGGACCCUCACCUUUGGAGGCUCAGCCACCAUGUGGGGAUAUUGGGAUCCAGGCUGGGGUGAAGGCCAGCAAUACCACCCGGAAAUGUGAAUGAAAGAUGCUCCUGAACUGAGUCUCCCUAGGUUGUCAAUCCUUUCUACAGCCACCUUAGGUGUCACUGAGCAGAGCAGGUCAACACCACUGCAUCCUUUUCAAAAUCUUGGCACAAAGCAGUCGAGCAUAAUGAAUUGGUUUAUCAAGCUAAACCCAGACAAUUGGUGCAUACAUCUGCGGCAACCAUCACAGCCAGCGGCCUCAAAUGACCGUGCCUGGACAAAAGAGCAGUGGCCACAGUCCAUAUCUCUCUUCAGGAAAAUGUGAGUGAUGGGCCUAGUACACGGGCCAGGCUUCGUUUCUCAAAAGUAUGGUCCACCAACUAUGAAUGGCUGAUUGGUGGGGAGACAGGCUAAGAUGAUCACACUUCAUCAUGACCAUUUUUAUAGGUUAAUCUCAUAGAAGAGUUGCCACACACUCUCUAAUAAGGAGCUACAGAAACAGAGUGGCUGUGUGGACCAGAGUCUGUUCCAUUCUUGCCAGCUGGAGCAGCACUGGACAAAUGGGAGCGUGAGGCCGGAACCCCACAGACUGAACGCCAGGCUGCUGUAGAAAUGGACCAGUGUUGGGUGCCUGCCUGACCGUGGUGCUGAACAUGUGACUGGAACAAAAUGGGAAAUGGCGUCAGAAAAUUUGAUCUUCUGUUUCAUUUCCUCCUUUGGCACCCCUCCUUCCUUGACGCUGGGCUCCAUGACUGGCAUGAUCCUGGGUCGCCAUCCAGCCUCUCCAAGCAUCUGUCUUGCAGAUGGCAGAUGGGGACAUUCUUAGUCCUCUAUGGAUCAUGAUGGACAUGCCAAGGAUGGUCAAUAAGGACCUCCAGUGCCCUUGCCUGGGGUUCUUGAGUGCCCAUCAAGGCUGAGUUUUCCAUCCAUCCUGCCAUUCAAACUCCUCCUGGGCACACAGUCUACUCUGAUCUCUCCACUGCUACUCCCCUCCUGUUUCCAUGGGAAAUUUCCACUGCCCAGUGUGUUGAGACCUGAAAUAGUGACACAGAAAUUGGGCACGGAGGGUCUGUCUUCAUACUGAUGUGUUUGAGGCUCUGAGCACUAGGUGGGAGCCAAGGAGAAGCAAGAUUGGAGACAGAGUUGAAAGAUGGUGCAUGUAGACCUCUUCCAAAUCCUCCAGAAGUCAAACAGUCCCAAAGCCUCUGGACUCAUUUGUGUGACCUUGAAACCAUCUAUCUGAGAAGAGAACAGGAAGUAGAGGACGCCAUGGCAACAGAUAACCGAAGCCAGCAUGGAAUGGAGCUAAUGGGCAGGGCUGCUCUCAGUGAAUACUUCCCAGUAAGCCCACAAAUGGUCGGUCACCAUCUGUCCUGAUUGGCUGAUGUCAAUGUUCUCCUACUCAUUGAACUGACAAUCUUGGUCUGAUAUCUGUUGCCCACUGCUCGAUGCCAGAAAGUUUCAUAGACUUCUUCUCCCGACUUGGCUCACCAUAGAGAGGAGAAAUAUCGAAUCCAAGAGUCAAAUCAAAACCAAGCCAACUAAGAAAACAAGAAGAGAGGCCAAAAAGAAAGGGGAAGGAAUUAAAAGAGUAAAAAGCAAAGGAAAAAGAGAGGUGAGAGAUGAAAUCCUGAGUGACUGUGUUAUUGCCGCGAGCAUGGCCAUAGAAUGGCAAGGCUUUCUCCUGAGCCAGGCUCAGAGGAAUAGCAAGACUUCUUCUGGUCAGAGGUCUGCCAUUGACAGUGUGUGAACAAAGUAUCCACAUCAGUUUCCUUCUCCAGGAUGACUGCAACCUGUUGCUGAGUUCCUACGGAGACCUCCUACUGAAAUGAGUUAACCAGCCUCAAAACGGCCUCACUCCUGCCUUAUAGAAUAAGCACACUGAAUUUCUAGGCUGCUCUUGGUGCAUCUCCAUGGAGCACACAGGUCACCUCAUCACAGCUUUUGGUGUACCUGUCUGUCAUUUCCUCAUUCCCUUUUGCCCCAGUUAGGUCAAGUACAGAUCAUGGCACACACGGGUUGAUGUCUCUGUUUUAACACAGAGUCAGUAAAAGGAGCUAAAAUAUUCUUCUAGAAAAGGAAUCCUUCAACAUGUCCACAGACACAAUUUCAGAAGUUUUAAAGAUAAAUAUUGUUCAAAUUUAAAAGCAAUAGGCAGAUUUAAAGGGAUUUACAUGCCCCUUAAAAAUGUUUCCUUUGCCUGGAUGGGGUAGGAUUAGGACACUGGAAGUCUCUGAUUAGGGAUCUAGAGAGAUGAACAAUUGGCCUAGAGAUGGGCAUGCUGUAGUUUAUACCUUGAUGUCACCCAAAGACCCAUGUUCGGGCCUUUUUAAAAGCUUGGCAUAGCCCAGAAUGCCAGUAGGUGGUGGAAACUUUAGGAAGUAAGGCCCUGGGGCAGAGAAAAUAAUAUGUAUUAUUAUAUAUAAAUAUGUAAAUGACUGCCCUGUCUAUAUAGACAGUUUUGUUAAAAAGAUAAUAACCAUAGAUUUGUGUGGUCCAGUCAUUUGUCAGUACGAUCCAGGAUGACAAGAGGUGAUGCUUACACAUCAGCUUAUUAUUUAGUCAGUGCUUGAGAAAAUUCUGUGUCAUCUCCAGGCACCAUAGCUUUCUAUGCAGGCUCAAGAACAGCUUCUCUUUCCAGACACAAAUGGGGCAUCUACCACACAUCCCUCUUCCAAAGUCUCAGGGAACAUUGCAGAAGAGGUGGGAACAGUGUGAGAGUGUUGCACACUCUCUGAGAGGGGUGUGGAAAGUUGACUUCCAGGCAGGACAUGACUACUGCCUUCUCUUACUCAAAGGAGUUGUGAUUACCUGCGGAAGACCGGAUCUGUCAACAACUCAUCAUGGGGGGAGGAGGAGCUCACGAGUCCCCAUCCCUCUAUGAGGAUGUAUGAUGCAGAGAGAAGAGACAUUUUCUUUAGUGGUGGUAAGGCACACAUGCUCCUGUGAUCAAACUCCCACCCACAGUCCCUUAAACAACCCUAAUGGAACACACACACACACACACACACACACACACACACACACACACACACACGGAGACAUGAAUGAAAGUCCAAAGGGUGGUUGGGAAGAGGAAGGGCAUCACUGCAGGUAAGAGGGAAACAAGAAAGGGUGAAUCUGAUCAAAAUCCAUUCCAUACACAUACGAAAACCUCACAACGAAGCCCCAUCGUUAUGUAUUAACACAUGCUAAGGAAAACCUUUAAGAAGGAUGACGUCUCUGUGUUCUUCGGUGUCGAAUGUGCUGAGGAACAUCUUCCACGAAGGAGAGGUGAAAUUGCACAAUCACUCAUGGUGUAGCUCUCAGCGCUUUGUAUGUGUGUUGAAUCUCUCUUCAGAUCCCCGACAACUACUCAUUUAGUCUGGUUGUGUCAUAGCUCAUAGCACCCAGUCCUCCAUGGUGCUGGCCCGGAACAGUGACCUCCAAGAACUUUAUUAUUGAUUGUCAUUUGGCUGCUCUGUUAAUGAUCAUGAAUGCACCUGUGCAGAAAAAAUGCAAAGGCAAAUUCAUUUCCUGCCCAUGUUGAGCUCACUAUCAACAUUUGAACUAUGAACUAUGAAUGUGUAAUAAUGUGUGUUUUCAACUACAUCUUCUCUGGGAUACUUUGGGUUAUAUCACUGCAUUCCUAGAGAUCUCUUUCAAUGUUGACCAUAGGAGAGGAUCCUCAGAGCCCAUCAAGAAGAGUUUUCACAUUGCCGUGAAAAGACCAGUCUGGAAAAAUGAUGAGGGGACAUGCAUUGUAAAGAUCCAUGGCCAUGCGCACUGUGGAGCAAGUCUUCAAACACCUUAGAGUUGGAGGCCACUCCUGACCACCUAAUGUGACAAGGAGCCUGUCAUAGGUGGGGAUGGUGGAAGAGUGGAUCAGAUUAAGAGCAGCAAUGGGAGAGGGAGGGAGGGAGGGAG
This is a non-coding RNA of Peromyscus maniculatus bairdii (prairie deer mouse), 5209 nucleotides long. Lineage: Eukaryota; Metazoa; Chordata; Mammalia; Rodentia; Cricetidae. The record is from RefSeq and is a predicted model, not a curated record.